RNAcentral lists this ribosomal RNA (410 nucleotides) under uncultured bacterium. RNAcentral describes it as "bacterial SSU rRNA". It matches the Rfam family "Bacterial small subunit ribosomal RNA", at positions 358 to 773 of the family's 1533-position model. The record is from RNAcentral.
GGAAUAUUGCGCAAUGGGCGAAAGCCUGACGCAGCCACGCCGCGUGAGUGAUGAAGGCCUUCGGGUUGUAAAGCUCUUUCGGGCGGGACGAAAGGCCUUAAAACCUUGACCGUACCUCGCAAGAACGCCCCGGCUAACUCUGUGCCAGCAGCCGCGGUAAUACAGAGGGUGCAAGCGUUGCUCGGAUUUACUGGGCGUAAAGCGUACGCAGAAGGUGAGAAAGGUAGAAUGUGAAAGCCCCGGGCUCAACCCGGGAACUGCAUCCGAAACCAUCUCGCUAGAGUAUGAGAGAGGGAAGCAGAAGUCCUGGUGUAGAGGUGAAAUUCGUAGAUAUCAGGAGGAAUACCUGCGGCGAAGGCGGCUUCCUGGCUCAUUACUGACGUUCAGGUACGAAAGCGUGGGUAGCAAAC